RNAcentral lists this ribosomal RNA (274 nucleotides) under uncultured bacterium. RNAcentral's name for it is "partial 16S ribosomal RNA". It matches the Rfam family "Bacterial small subunit ribosomal RNA", at positions 523 to 796 of the family's 1533-position model. The record is from RNAcentral.
AUACGUAGGAACCAAGCGUUGUCCGGAUUUACUGGGCGUAAAGUGCGCGUAGGCGGUUCGUUGAGUCUCAUGUGAAAUCUCCCGGCUCAACUGGGAGGGGUCAUGGGAUACUGGCAGACUCGAGUGCAGCAGAGGGGAGCGGAAUUCCCGGAGUAGUGGUGGAAUGCGUAGAUACCGGGAGGAACACCAGAGGCGAAGGCGGCUCCCUGGGCUGUGUCUGACGCUGAGGCGCGAAAGCGUGGGUAGCAAACCGGAUUAGAAACCCGAGUAGUCC